UACGUAGGGGGCAAGCGUUGUCCGGAAUCAUUGGGCGUAAAGCGCGUGUAGGCGGCUGAGUAAGUCUGCUCUGAAAGCCCGGGGCUCAACCCCGGGAGGCGGGUGGAUACUGCUCAGCUCGAGUCCGGAAGAGGCGAGUGGAAUUCCCGGUGUAGCGGUGAAAUGCGCAGAUAUCGGGAGGAACACCAAUGGCGAAGGCAGCUCGCUGGGACGUUACUGACGCUGAGACGCGAAAGCGUGGGGAGCAAACAGG
RNAcentral lists this ribosomal RNA (253 nucleotides) under uncultured bacterium. RNAcentral describes it as "partial 16S ribosomal RNA". It matches the Rfam family "Bacterial small subunit ribosomal RNA", at positions 524 to 776 of the family's 1533-position model. The record is from RNAcentral.